Molecule: ribosomal RNA, 519 nt
Filed under: Escherichia coli
Lineage: Bacteria; Pseudomonadati; Pseudomonadota; Gammaproteobacteria; Enterobacterales; Enterobacteriaceae
Description: bacterial SSU rRNA
Rfam family: Bacterial small subunit ribosomal RNA
Source: RNAcentral
GUGCCUUCGGGAACCGUGAGACAGGUGCUGCAUGGCUGUCGUCAGCUCGUGUUGUGAAAUGUUGGGUUAAGUCCCGCAACGAGCGCAACCCUUAUCCUUUGUUGCCAGCGGUCCGGCCGGGAACUCAAAGGAGACUGCCAGUGAUAAACUGGAGGAAGGUGGGGAUGACGUCAAGUCAUCAUGGCCCUUACGACCAGGGCUACACACGUGCUACAAUGGCGCAUACAAAGAGAAGCGACCUCACGAGAGCAAGCGGACCUCAUAAAGUGCGUCGUAGUCCGGAUUGGAGUCUGCAACUCGACUCCAUGAAGUCGGAAUCGCUAGUAAUCGUGGAUCAGAAUGCCACGGUGAAUACGUUCCCGGGCCUUGUACACACCGCCCGUCACACCAUGGGAGUGGGUUGCAAAAGAAGUAGGUAGCUUAACCUUCGGGAGGGCGCUUACCACUUUGUGAUUCAUGACUGGGGUGAAGUCGUAACAAGGUAACCGUAGGGGAACCUGCGGUUGGAUCACCUCCUUA